RNAcentral lists this ribosomal RNA (484 nucleotides) under uncultured bacterium. RNAcentral describes it as "partial 16S ribosomal RNA". It matches the Rfam family "Bacterial small subunit ribosomal RNA", at positions 29 to 507 of the family's 1533-position model. The record is from RNAcentral.
AUUGAACGCUGGCGGCAUGCUUUACACAUGCAAGUUGAACGGCAGCGCGGGCUUCGGCCUGGCGGCGAGUGGCGAACGGGUGAGUAAUGCAUCGGAACGUGCCCAGUAGUGGGGGAUAGCCCAGCGAAAGCCGGAUUAAUACCGCAUACGACCUGAGGGUGAAAGCGGGGGACCGAAAGGCCUCGCGCUAUUGGAGCGGCCGAUGUCGGAUUAGCUAGUUGGUGGGGUAAAGGCUUACCAAGGCGACGAUCCGUAGCUGGUCUGAGAGGACGACCAGCCACACUGGGACUGAGACACGGCCCAGACUCCUACGGGAGGCAGCAGUGGGGAAUUUUGGACAAUGGGGGCAACCCUGAUCCAGCCAUGCCGCGUGCGGGAAGAAGGCCUUCGGGUUGUAAACCGCUUUUGUUCGGGAAGAAAUCCUCUGGGCUAAUACCCCGGGGGGAUGACGGUACCGGAAGAAUAAGCACCGGCUAACUACGUG